CAUCCCAUGUCCAUGGCUUUCUGUGGGUAUAGUUGGGGUUGUCUCGGUCUCCAUAACUCCCUCUGAAAUAAACAUCGCAACAUUAGUUGGAGGCUGGUGGGAGGAGCUAUUGUCACGAACGUCGUCAGGGAAAUGACCGGACCAAGGUGCAGCGUGCGGUGGUGGAAGUGGCGCUCACUGGGGGACUACACUUCGCACGCAGAAUGCAGACUGGGAGACUACAUGGUUCUGUUCAAUAGGCAGCAAACAGAAGAAAACUGAGUAAAAUGGAGAAUUACCUGGACUUGUCCAAUGACAAAUUCAAACGUUCUUAUUAUGUUGAAUGCGCCCUAAUGAACACGGCCCUCAAUUACCCCUGACCUUUAACCCCUACAUGGGCAAUGACCCAACAGGUUCAAUAGCACAGAUGCUAUAUG
Long non-coding RNA from Salvelinus fontinalis (brook trout), 416 nucleotides. RefSeq lists it as uncharacterized. NCBI's taxonomy places the organism in Eukaryota, Metazoa, Chordata, Actinopteri, Salmoniformes, Salmonidae. The record is from RefSeq and is a predicted model, not a curated record. The transcript is spliced from 3 exons.